CCAUAGCCCUGAUAGCAGCGGCAUCCUUUUUAGGCAAACGAAAAGAUCUAAUCCUAACGAAAAUGUUCUGCCUAAAAAGAUAUAGCGGAUAGACAGUCCCGAUA
This 104-nucleotide small RNA is filed under the name Flavobacterium aquidurense. RNAcentral's name for it is "Flavo-1 RNA". It matches the Rfam family "Flavo-1 RNA". Lineage: Bacteria; Pseudomonadati; Bacteroidota; Flavobacteriia; Flavobacteriales; Flavobacteriaceae. The record is from RNAcentral.